CAGGCUUAACACAUGCAAGUCGAGGGGCAGCAUGGUCUUAGCUUGCUAAGGCCGAUGGCGACCGGCGCACGGGUGAGUAACGCGUAUCCAACCUGCCUUACACUCUUGGACAGCCUUCUGAAAGGGAGAUUAAUACAAGAUGUUAUCAUGAGUAAGCAUUUUCGCAUGAUUAAAGGUUUACCGGUGUAAGAUGGGGAUGCGUUCCAUUAGAUAGUAGGCGGGGUAACGGCCCACCUAGUCUUCGAUGGAUAGGGGUUCUGAGAGGAAGGUCCCCCACAUUGGAACUGAGACACGGUCCAAACUCCUACGGGAGGCAGCAGUGAGGAAUAUUGGUCAAUGGACGAGAGUCUGAACCAGCCAAGUAGCGUGAAGGAUGAAGGUUCUAUGGAUUGUAAACUUCUUUUAUACGGGAAUAAACGAAUCCACGUGUGGAUUUUUGCAUGUACCGUAUGAAUAAGGAUCGGCUAACUCCGUGCCAGCAGCCGCGGUAAUACGGAGGAUCCGAGCGUUAUCCGGAUUUAUUGGGUUUAAGGGGAGCGUAGAUGGGUUGUUAAGUCAGUUGUGAAAGUUUGCGGCUCAACCGUAAAAUUGCAAUUGAUACUGGCAGUCUUGAGUACAGUUGAGGUAGGCGGAAUUCGUGGUGUAGCGGUGAAAUGCUUAGAUAUCACGAAGAACUCCGAUUGCGAAGGCAGCUUACUAACCUGUAACUGACAUUGAUGCUCGAAAGUGUGGGUAUCAAACAGGAUUAGAUACCCUGGUAGUCCACACGGUAAACGAUGAAUACUCGCUGUAGGCGAUAUACAGUCUGCGGCCAAGCGAAAGCAUUAAGUAUUCCACCUGGGGAGUACGCCGGCAACGGUGAAACUCAAAGGAAUUGACGGGGGCCCGCACAAGCGGAGGAACAUGUGGUUUAAUUCGAUGAUACGCGAGGAACCUUACCCGGGCUUAAAUUGCAACCGAAUAUGGCGGAAACGCUAUAGCUAGCAAUAGCGGUUGUGAAGGUGCUGCAUGGUUGUCGUCAGCUCGUGCCGUGAGGUGUCGGCUUGAGUGCCAUAACGAGCGCAACCCUUGCCGAUAGUUACUAACAGGUCAUGCUGAGGACCCUGUCGGGACUGCCAUCGUAAGAUGUGAGGAAGGUGGGGAUGACGUCAAAUCAGCACGGCCCUUACGUCCGGGGCUACACACGUGUUACAAUGGGGGGUACAGAGGGCUGCUACCACGCAAGUGGAUGCCAAUCCCAAAAACCUCUCUCAGUUCGGAUUGAAGUCUGCAACCCGACUUCAUGAAGCUGGAUUCGCUAGUAAUCGCGCAUCAGCCACGGCGCGGUGAAUACGUUCCCGGGCCUUGUACACACCGCCCGUCAAGCCAUGGGAGCCGGGGGUACCUGAAGUGCGUAACCGCAAGGAGCGCCCUAGGGUAAAACUGGUGACUGGGGC
This 1436-nucleotide ribosomal RNA is filed under the name uncultured organism. RNAcentral describes it as "16S ribosomal RNA". It matches the Rfam family "Bacterial small subunit ribosomal RNA". The record is from RNAcentral.